RNAcentral lists this ribosomal RNA (439 nucleotides) under uncultured bacterium. Its description in RNAcentral is "partial 16S ribosomal RNA". It matches the Rfam family "Bacterial small subunit ribosomal RNA", at positions 339 to 795 of the family's 1533-position model. The record is from RNAcentral.
CUACGGGAUGCUGCAGUGAGGAAUAUUGCACAAUGGGGGGAACCCUGAUGCAGCAACGUCGCGUGGAGGAUGACGCAUUUCGGUGUGUAAACUCCUUUUAUAUGUCAAGAAAAUGACGGUAGCAUAUGAAUAAGCACCGGCUAACUCCGUGCCAGCAGCCGCGGUAAUACGGAGGGUGCAAGCGUUACUCGGAAUCACUGGGCGUAAAGGACGCGUAGGCGGGUUGGAAAGUCAGGUGUGAAAUCCUACAGCUUAACUGUAGAACUGCACUUGAAACUUCUAAUCUAGAGUAUGGGAGGGGGAGAUGGAAUUAGUGGUGUAGGGGUAAAAUCCGUAGAUAUCACUAGGAAUACCUAAAGCGAAGGCGAUCUCCUGGAACAUAACUGACGCUAAGGCGUGAAAGCGUGGGGAGCAAACAGGAUUAGAUACCCUCGUAGUC